ACCUGGGUGGCUCAGUCAGCGGAGCGCCUGACUCCGGUUCAGGUCACGAACUCACAAUUCCGUGGGUUCGAGCCCCACAUUGGGCU
RNAcentral lists this transfer RNA (86 nucleotides) under Felis catus (domestic cat). It matches the Rfam family "tRNA". From Rfam's summary of the family: Transfer RNA (tRNA) molecules are approximately 80 nucleotides in length. Their secondary structure includes four short double-helical elements and three loops (D, anti-codon, and T loops). The record is from Rfam by way of RNAcentral. Lineage: Eukaryota; Metazoa; Chordata; Mammalia; Carnivora; Felidae.